Molecule: unclassified non-coding RNA, 520 nt
Filed under: uncultured Paraglomus
Lineage: Eukaryota; Fungi; Glomeromycota; Glomeromycetes; Paraglomerales; Paraglomeraceae
Description: SSU rRNA
Rfam family: Eukaryotic small subunit ribosomal RNA
Source: RNAcentral
AGCAGCCGCGGUAAUUCCAGCUCCAAUAGCGUAUAUUAAAGUUGUUGUGGUUAAAAAGCUCGUAGUUGAACCUUGGGCCUGGCUGGCCGGUCCGCCUCACCGCGUGUACUGGUCCGGCCGGGCCUUUCCCUCUGUGGAACCCCAUGCCCUUCACUGGGUGUGGCGGGGAAACAGGACUUUUACUUUGAAAAAAUUAGAGUGCUCCAGGCAGGCCUAUGCUCGAAUACAUUAGCAUGGAAUAAUAGAAUAGGACGUGUGGUUCUAUUUUGUUGAUUUCUAGGACCGCCGUAAUGAUUAAUAGGGACAGUCGGGGGCAUCAGUAUUCAAUUGUCAGAGGUGAAAUUCUUGGAUUUAUUGAAGACUAACUACUGCGAAAGCAUUUUGCCAAGGAUGUUUUCAUUAAUCAGGAACGAAAGUUAGGGGAUCGAAGACGAUCAGAUACCGUCGUAGUCUUAACCAUAAACUAUGCCGACUAGGGAUCGGACGAUGUUAUUUAUUGACUCGUUCGGCACCUUACGGG